UCUCCGUAGGUGAACCUGCGGAGGGAUCAUUACUGAGUGAGGGUCCUUGUGGCCCGACCUCCAACCCCCUGUCUUCCGACUCUGUUGCCUCGGGGGCGACCCGGCCCUCUGGGCGUCGGGGCCCCCGGUGGCUCACACCUCAACUCUUGCAUCUGUGCGUCUGAGUCGAAAUAUAAAUCAAUCAAAACUUUCAACAACGGAUCUCUUGGUUCUGGCAUCGAUGAAGAACGCAGC
This 234-nucleotide unclassified non-coding RNA is filed under the name uncultured fungus. Its description in RNAcentral is "sequence contains ITS1, 5.8S rRNA gene". The stretch from base 186 to 234 matches the Rfam family "5.8S ribosomal RNA", at positions 1 to 49 of the family's 154-position model. Lineage: Eukaryota; Fungi. The record is from RNAcentral.